GUGGUUUGACACUAAUCAUGGACUGCCCAUAAACUGAAAGAUUUACAGUGGCUCAUCUGUGCGCGUAGUGUGUGCAUGUGUGUGUAUGUUGUGUUCCGUCACCCGUGUAACCCUCCACGUGUUGACUAUUGACACAGUCCUGGUCUGAUAACGAGGCCCUUUAUAAGACUGACAGUGCAGAAAGGUCGCUCUGUAGACCCCUGAAGCUCAGAAAAGAAAACAUGCUUUCAGAAAAAGUGUUCUUGAUCAUUUGCGCCUUUGCAGUCUUGGCAAUUUCAGCUUAUCCGCUCCAUCGUGACACCAGGGAGGCAACCUGGGCUGAUUCCAAGGCCAAUCAGGCUCAUCCCAAGUUAAAAAUCACAAAAGAAGCAGAGUAAGUUUAUCUAACUAAGAACAUUAAAUUAUAAAAA
Long non-coding RNA from Hippocampus comes (tiger tail seahorse), 410 nucleotides. RefSeq lists it as uncharacterized. NCBI's taxonomy places the organism in Eukaryota, Metazoa, Chordata, Actinopteri, Syngnathiformes, Syngnathidae. The transcript has 3 exons. The record is from RefSeq and is a predicted model, not a curated record.